AUGGCGGCAGCCAGGGCCGAGGCUCCAGGAGCUUGGUGUGUGCCUUGCCUGGUUUCACUUGUUACUGUUCAGGAAUUAGGUAGAAAAGAAAAGCUCACGUGCAAAUUGAUUGGAAUCACCAAAGGGAAUCUAGACAAUUAUGAGGUGGAAUACUUGUGUGACUACAAGGUAGUAAAGGAUAUGGAAUAUUAUCUUGUGAAAUUGGAAAGGAUGGCCAGAUUCUUCAAAUACUUGGGAAACUUUGGAAAAUCUGAAGUGCCCGUUACUGCUUCAGCAAUUCUCUAAUGACAAGCAUAAUUAUUUAUAUCAGGUACUCACAAGUGAAGAAGCUGAAAAAUGGGGAUAGUUACAUGACAACAAGGGAAUCACAUAUCUCUUUGAUCUGGACUAUCAAUCUGAUGAAUUCACAGUGGAUGCGGCUCGAUACGGCAAUGUGUCUCAUUUUGUGAAUCACAGCUGUGACCGAAUCUUCAGGUGUUCAAUGUUUACGCUAAUAACCUCAAUACUUGUCUUCCCCGAAUAGCACUGUUUUCCACGAGAACCAUAAAUGCUGGAGAAGAGCUGACCUUUGAUUAUCAAAAUGAAAGGUUUUGGAGAUACAUCUUCAGAUUCUGUUGACCACAACCCAGCCAAAAAGAGGGUCAGAACUGUAUGUAAAUGUGGAGCUGUGACUUGCAGAAAUUACCUCAACUGAAUUUUCACGUAAUAGAGCUGAUGAUACUUACAAUUUUUUUGCUAAUGUUAACAUUUAAAAAAAUAAAUAUUUGGGACUCUUAUUAUCAAGGUUGUACCUAUGUUAAUUUAAAAUUCAUGUUUCAAGACAUUUGCCAAAUGUAUUACUGAUGCCUAUGAAGAGAGGGUCACUGGGUCUCAUAGACUGAUUUGAAAUCUACAUAUUUAGGUCUUAGAGACCAAACUAAUGGAAGGCAAACUAUUCUCAGCUCAGUAUACGUGUACCUAAGUCUAUGUGAACAGAGAAAUGCCUCCUGAAGUGUUUGAAAGUGUUAAGCUGAUAAUGUAAUUAACAAUUGCUGAGAGAUCAAACAUUCAACCUGUCAUACACCUCAAAUUUGGAGAAGUAGAGUUAAUUUGGGCAAACCUACCAGUUCUGUUUUUGCUACUAUAUUGUCAUUCCUGUUUAAUACUGUACUUAAAUUUGAGACAAAUGGAUGAUACUGAAUUUUAUACUCUAUUUUCUACUUUUUCAUUAAAACAUUGGCAUCUUAAUGAUAUAGAAAUUUAAUAUGUAAAAUUAAAUGUAAA
Molecule: non-coding RNA, 1263 nt
Organism: Saimiri boliviensis boliviensis (Bolivian squirrel monkey)
Lineage: Eukaryota; Metazoa; Chordata; Mammalia; Primates; Cebidae
Source: RefSeq, a predicted model, not a curated record